GUGCUUGCUUGAGCAGCACUUAUGCUAGAAAAUUGGAACAAAAUAGAGAUUAGCAUGGCCCCUGCACAAGGAUGACACAAAAUUCAUGAAGUGGGGGGCAGCUAA
Molecule: small nuclear RNA, 105 nt
Organism: Dromiciops gliroides (monito del monte)
Lineage: Eukaryota; Metazoa; Chordata; Mammalia; Microbiotheria; Microbiotheriidae
Source: RefSeq, a predicted model, not a curated record